GAGAGUAUAGCUCAGUGGUAGAGCACAUGCUUAGCAUGCAUGAGGUCCUGGGUUCAAUCCCCAGUACCUCCA
This 72-nucleotide transfer RNA is filed under the name Camelus bactrianus (Bactrian camel). It matches the Rfam family "tRNA". From Rfam's summary of the family: Transfer RNA (tRNA) molecules are approximately 80 nucleotides in length. Their secondary structure includes four short double-helical elements and three loops (D, anti-codon, and T loops). Lineage: Eukaryota; Metazoa; Chordata; Mammalia; Artiodactyla; Camelidae. RNAcentral also lists the same sequence under 2 other names. The record is from Rfam by way of RNAcentral.